RNAcentral lists this ribosomal RNA (1378 nucleotides) under uncultured bacterium. RNAcentral describes it as "bacterial SSU rRNA". It matches the Rfam family "Bacterial small subunit ribosomal RNA", at positions 28 to 1381 of the family's 1533-position model. The record is from RNAcentral.
GAUUAACGCUGGCGGCGUGCAUAACACAUGCAAGUCGAACGAUGAAGCUUAAAUGAUUUCUUCGGAAUGAACUUAAGUGAAUUAGUGGCGAACGGGUGAGUAACGCGUGAGUAACCUGCCUUACACAAGGGGAUAGCCUCUGGAAACGGAGAAUAAUACCCUAUGACAUUAAUACUUCGCAUGAAGCAUUAAUCAAAGUGUUAGCGGUGUAAGAUGGACUUGCGUCUGAUUAGCUAGUUGGUAAGGUAACAGCUUACCAAGGCAACGAUGCGUAGCCGACCUGAGAGGGUGAUCGGCCACACUGGAACUGAGACACGGUCCAGACUCCUACGGGAGGCAGCAGUAGGGAAUCUUCCGCAAUGGGCGAAAGCCUGACGGAGCAACGCCGCGUGAGUGAUGAAGGUCUUCGGAUCGUAAAACUCUGUUAUUAGGGAAGAACAAAUGUGUAAGUAACUAUGCACGUCUUGACGGUACCUAAUCAGAAAGCCACGGCUAACUACGUGCCAGCAGCCGCGGUAAUACGUAGGUGGCAAGCGUUAUCCGGAAUUAUUGGGCGUAAAGCGCGCGUAGGCGGUUUUUUAAGUCUGAUGUGAAAGCCCACGGCUCAACCGUGGAGGGUCAUUGGAAACUGGAAAACUUGAGUGCAGAAGAGGAAAGUGGAAUUCCAUGUGUAGCGGUGAAAUGCGCAGAGAUAUGGAGGAACACCAGUGGCGAAGGCGACUUUCUGGUCUGUAACUGACGCUGAUGUGCGAAAGCGUGGGGAUCAAACAGGAUUAGAUACCCUGGUAGUCCACGCCGUAAACGAUGAGUGCUAAGUGUUAGGGGGUUUCCGCCCCUUAGUGCUGCAGCUAACGCAUUAAGCACUCCGCUUGGGGAGUACGACCGCAAGGUUGAAACUCAAAGGAAUUGACGGGGACCCGCACAAGCGGUGGAGCAUGUGGUUUAAUUCGAAGCAACGCGAAGAACCUUACCAAAUCUUGACAUCCUCUGACCCCUCUAGAGAUAGAGUUUUCCCCUUCGGGGGACAGAGUGACAGGUGGUGCAUGGUUGUCGUCAGCUCGUGUCGUGAGAUGUUGGGUUAAGUCCCGCAACGAGCGCAACCCUUAAGCUUAGUUGCCAUCAUUAAGUUGGGCACUCUAAGUUGACUGCCGGUGACAAACCGGAGGAAGGUGGGGAUGACGUCAAAUCAUCAUGCCCCUUAUGAUUUGGGCUACACACGUGCUACAAUGGACAAUACAAAGGGUAGCGAAACCGCGAGGUCAAGCAAAUCCCAUAAAGUUGUUCUCAGUUCGGAUUGUAGUCUGCAACUCGACUAUAUGAAGCUGGAAUCGCUAGUAAUCGUAGAUCAGCAUGCUACGGUGAAUACGUUCCCGGGUCU